UGGUUGACUUUCGGUGGAGGAACUGAACUGGUGAUCAGAACUGGUCCCGCAGUGAAGCCCUCCGUGUCUCUGCUGCCGCCCUCUUCUCUGCAGAUCUCUGGAGACUCAGCCGCACUGCUCUGCCUGCUCAGCUCUUACUCUCCACAGGGGGCGACGGUGAGCUGGACGCUGGACGGGUCAGAGGUCACCGAGGGGGUUCAGACCAGCGCAGAGAGCGAGCGGGACGGACGCUACAGCCGCAGCAGCGUCCUGAGCCUCAGCAAAGCACGCUGGGAAGGCGCGGAUCGCUUCGUCUGCAGAGUAAGACAUGACGGAGCUGAUCACGAGGCCUCGUUCCUCAAGAGCUCCGAGUGCUGAUGUUUCUCCAGUCGAGACGAGCCGUAUCUGAGCGUCCGGCAGGAUUCACGGCAGUCACGUGAUUUACAGCUCAAUACUGAAGCAGUCUUUCAAUGUGCUGCCAUUGCUGUUCAUUCAAUAAAGCUUCUGAACGCGUUACAUUUGUGUCCGACUGCAUCAUUGAUCAGUGUGUCGUUCAUUCAAAGUCCUGCACUAAAGUUUCAGCUGCUUUUGAUUGAUUGUAAUAGUUGAGAACAGCUGCAUUUAGCAGUAAAUGUCAAAUGAAGCUCUUGGGGUUUGAACAUGGUCACUGGAGACGGAGCUGCUCUAUUCUGAGAGGAUCACAAUCACUAAACCUGCCAAUGCAAAUGUGAUUUUCACCUCAAACUCACAGUUUCACUCUUUGAUUGGUUCAUCGCUCUCAACUGGAACACUUUCACUUCUGCUCAUGAGAAAUUUUUUUCCUGUGUUUGUCCUCUGUGUGUCAGUAGUGUGUGAUAGUGUUUGAGCAGCUGCAGUAUCAGUUCAGUCACUCUGACUCUGUUCAGUCAACCUGCCAUACCAAACAAGACCACAGGGAGAUACAAACGGACUGAAUUUAAAUACUAUGCAGAUCCAUUAAAAAUUAUUAAACACAUAUAACACCACUGAUCCUUUCAAACUUCUCCAAAACACACUUGUUCGGCGAGCAUCCGUUAUUAAACACUCACAGUAGAUUAAUUUUGACAACUACGUGAAUACAUUGAACUGUGUUCAUGCAGAAAUAUGAUGUUAUAGCGAUCUGUGAGUCGAGAGCACAAAUGUGCGGUUUGUUUGCACAUCAAUAAUAUCAGACUCGCGCAUGCCUUGUGUACGACUCCUGUAUGUCACUGUAAUCGUCUUUACCUUCAUUACAAACUGACGCUGGUUUUCUUUUUCCAACUGAGAGAGUUUGCGUUUUGAGCCACCGUUCAGUCUGUAUUUCACAGCAGCACGAUGAGAAACUGCCUGGGCUGAACCGAAACAAUCACAGAAUACAUACGAGAGAGGUGGUGCCUUGUUUUAAAUGUAUUUUUUAAUUAACUUAAUUUAGCUUUUUAAUGUAAUGUAUUACUAAUUAAAUUAAUGAAUUAUAUUAAUAUAUUUAAAUUAAGUUUAAGUUAUCUCGCGGCCCACCUGGAGGAUCACUGAGGACCCCUAGAUGGCCGUGGCACACAGGUUGAAAACCACUGGCCUAGAACAAACCGCACGAAACUCGGAGCAACUUUCCUGAAAAAAUUAGUGUUUCAAAUUAAUCAUUUGAGUGACGACAGUCUGGGGCUGUGUUUCACAUCGAUUUUACACACUUGCGAACUUCCCUAAGCAUUUCCCCUUAGGAAAGCAUCCCCAGCGCGCCGCCAUUUUGAAGUGCGUUCUACUUAGUGGACAAGUUUAUAUGGACAGACCCUCGAGCCCUCAAUUUUUACUGAGGGAGUGAGUCUACUUCAUAUGUACACUUCAGGCAGAUCCAUAGACCACAAUGCAACAUGAUUGUGACGUCACCACAGAACGUGUUUAAUUUACCCCCACCACAAUCAACUCUAUGAUAUUUUAAUUUAUUUAUUUAUUUUUUUUUAUAUUUAAAACAACCCAAACACACCUAUGUACAUAUAGAAUGCUGCAAUAAAAACAAAUGCAUUUGGUAAAAAAUUUAAAUAAUAAAUCAACUCCAUCCACCAGUAGUGGGCAACGUGAGCAUAACGUACAUCCGAGUCAACGAGACUGAGGGGAGUUAGUGAGGGAAGGGCGAAUCAGAUGUUUUGAACGAAUCAGAUGAGUAAAUGAUGUGUCUUGUCACCAUCUACUGGUGUAACUUGCAGAAAGAGUUUGCUGUAAAAUCACCAGCAUUAAUGCUGCACAUUUGUUGUGUGUUCAUGAUAGAGGAUCUGUUUCUGUCACGAGACUCGAGCUCUAAGUACAUCAGGACUUCUGCAAUGAAUUAAAAUGAACAUACAGGAGGAGAUGGAGGGAUGGAGGAGGAAUAUUCUCACUGGAGUGAUAUGAACUACUGCCACUGACUCUAGAUGGAGUUCCACUGUUACGGUCUGUUGCUCGAUAUAUGAGGGGUUUAGGAGCUUCUCCAGGUUUCUGUAAGUACCAGCUCAGACCGGGUUGUCCAUUACUAUAACAGCAGUUCACAUCACUGCUAAAUUUACAGUUUAUAGUGACUGAUUGUCCAGUUUGAGAGAGCAGCUCUGAGGGAGUUUGAGUCCCACAUAGAAGGCAACGUUCUCAGGACCUUGCGCAACGUUCCCUAAAAGUUCUCUAAAGGUGACGAAAAUUCCGAACCUUUACAGAACAUUCGGGACGUUCCUAAAAUGUCCUCUUUUGGUAAUGAAAGUGCUGCAGUUCAAGGUUCCUUAUAUGACUUUAGGGGGACGUUCCAUUUUGGUUAUUUUAUGGUCACAUAAGAACGUUACAAAGAGGAUAUUUGGGACAUUAACAGAACGUUCCCACACGGUCCUCUGUUGGUCAUUUAAUAACGUUCCCGAUAUGAGUUUGUUCUAUUUUGGUUAUUUUAUGGUUGCACGAGAACGUUACAAAGAGGACAUUUGGGAAGUUAUCAGAACGUUCUAUAGCAAUAGUCCCCUAAACAUUUCCAGAACGUCCUGAAUGAUCCCUGAAGGUCCACCAAAUAACGUCCCCCAAACCUUAAAAGAACUCCACAUCAUGACCGUCUCUGAACGUUCUGGGAACGUUACCACAUGACAGGUUAGAUGCUGAAAAUAAAAUACGUUUGAAGUCACCGUUAUGGAGGUGAGCGUUUGCUUUAGAUGUGCUCUUGAUUCUUGACUUUUUAAACAAUAGAUUUUGUCUGGCUGCUUUAACUGUGUUUCCAGAACGUGUUUGUUUAUUUGGUUGUUUAGUGAUGAUUCAAUCAUCAUGGAGUGUCCUGAUUCACUGAUUUUCUCCUGAGUCUUAACUAACAGUUUUGAAUUAAUUAAUUGUUGGUGUUUUUUUUUUUUUAAUUCAUUAUACAAAAAUCUUUUUUAAAUCUUUUUUGUGACUUUAGAAGCUUGUUUUGUGAAGCUCAGAGUUACUGUUUAUCUGAAAAUUUUGUCACCAUUGUUGAGGUUCAUACGCAAAGUCUGUGUGUGUCCACGUGAUCCUGUCUGAAUAAUAACUUAAAAACUUUAAAAAUAUCAAAACAGAACAGGAAGUUAUGCAGUAUUUUAGGGCUACAGUAACAUGAAAACAACAUAAUACUCAGAGAUCAGUGAAUAAGGCCACUGUAUGGUGAAACCAUCAACAAUAGACAACCAAAUUCAUUUGAUCCAAUCUUUUUUUUUUUUUUUUGCAACAAAUGUUUAGAAACACAGUUACAACAGUUGGAUAAAAACUAAAGUUAAAUGUCAAGGGUCAGGAACCCAACUAAAGCAAACGCUUACCUCCAUAUCAGUGACUUCAAACUUUAUAAUUUUCUAUAAAACCUCAACAUCUAAAUAAGUUUUGAAUGAAAGAAAUUGGUUUGUAAUAAGUGAAGAUGCUGAGAUCUAGAGAGAUCUGUUAGUGUUUAAUGUUCUGUUUGUUAUCUGAGUUUUGUGAGAUCAUCAUUGUGCUGGAGAGUAGAGCCUGUGCUUCAGUCGAUGAUCCAGAAACACUGACGUUCUGCUGCAUGUUGCUUUAUUUAAAGACAGUAACUGUGUAGUUGCUGAUGCAGUGAUACAGUAGUUACAUUAGCUUAUGCAUGUGCUGUUGUCAGCUAAUGAUUUACUGCAAGAGGUUUGUACUUUACAGAAAAGGUUUCAUAAUAAUCCAGAAAAUACCAGUAAAGUGUUUUUUUUUUUUUUUUUUUUUUUUUGUGAGAAAAAUUUGUCUGAAAAGUCACUUUUGUUAAUCAAUUUAGCACUAAUUUUCAAUAGAAUUUUUGACAAGAGCAACAUCACAUUUCCAAAUAAAAUAUGGUUUCCUAAAUGUUCAGAGAACAUCCUGAAUGUUCUGUGAAGGUCCACCAAAUAACGUCCCCCAACCCUUAAAGGAACUCCACAUAUGACAGAACCCAUUGAGGUUACCUAUGUAGGUACUACCUUGGACCCAUGUAGGGCAGCCUAUAUGGACUGAUGUCUAACCCGUUUGUUAAACCCAUAUGGGCCCCAUUUGUGUUGCCCAUUUUGAGCCCAUGCACUCAUUUCCAAUUAGUAACCCAGCUAGGACCCACAUAGGGAUAAGAUGACCAUUUUAGGACCAUGCCCACUUGGUGCCCAUGUAGCCCAAGCAUAAACCAUGUGGGGUCCACAUAUACAUGUUGGCCGGGUAGAGUGUUUAUUUAAAUAUGCCUCAUAACAGGUUUAGAUCCUACUAAAAACAUUUCCUUUCUCAAUUCAUCAUUGAGCAAGAAAAAUCAAAAUUCCUUCACUUAUGUAUAAUUAUUUUUUAUGCCGAUGGAGGUGGACAUUAUCACAUUUUUAUUUUAUUUUUUGUGCUGGACUGUGGACACUCAUAAGUCAGUUUUGAGCACAUGUGUAGUUCCUGUGUUUGUCCUCUGUGUGUCAGUAGUGUGUGAAAGUGUGUGAGUAGCUGCAGUAUCAGUUCAGUCACUGUGACUCUGACUGACAGAGGUUUUUGUACGACUCUUUAUCACUGUGUGAACACAUCUUUACUGUUGAUUUCAUGGUAACUCUGACAGUAAUAAUGUCCAGCAUCUUCAGUCUGGACUCCACUGAUGGUCAGAGUGAAAUCACUGUUAGAUCCACUGCCACUGAAUCUAGAUGGAGUUCCUGACUCGAGGGUGUUUGCUAAAUAAAUCAGGAGUUUAGGAGCUUCUCCAGGUUUCUGUAAGUACCAGGCUACAUAAUCAUCAGAACCAUCAUUGAACACAUCUCUGCUGGUUUUACAGUUGAUGUUCACAGUUUGUUCUUGAGCUGCUGUCACUGA
This is a long non-coding RNA of Ctenopharyngodon idella (grass carp), 5229 nucleotides long. RefSeq lists it as uncharacterized. The transcript has 5 exons. NCBI's taxonomy places the organism in Eukaryota, Metazoa, Chordata, Actinopteri, Cypriniformes, Xenocyprididae. The record is from RefSeq and is a predicted model, not a curated record.